CAUGGGAUCGAAGCUGUCUCGGGAAGGAGCGGCGGCCCGUUUCAGGGACGACAACAUAGUCCAGCGCGUGGGGAUACGCACGCCCGAGUCCGACGUUUCAAGGGCACUGACGGGGACGAAGAAGAAGCGGUCCCGCCAGUGAUGAGACCGGUCGACCAGCCCGUCGAAGAGGGCGCCGGUGGAUCGCUGAGCGACUAACACACGGCGGGGAUCGGUGGUCAUGGAGGUCAUCGUGAACAACGUCAGGAAGACCGGAAGAGAGACC
RNAcentral lists this long non-coding RNA (265 nucleotides) under Zostera marina. RNAcentral describes it as "long non-coding RNA (ZMAR_LNC003543)". The record is from RNAcentral. Lineage: Eukaryota; Viridiplantae; Streptophyta; Magnoliopsida; Alismatales; Zosteraceae.